RNAcentral lists this long non-coding RNA (1912 nucleotides) under Ornithorhynchus anatinus (platypus). RNAcentral describes it as "lncRNA (ENSOANG00000042016.1)". The record is from RNAcentral. Lineage: Eukaryota; Metazoa; Chordata; Mammalia; Monotremata; Ornithorhynchidae.
UGGCCUUCAGCUCAGUCGAUAGCCAACAGUCACCCAGAGAGCUGGGCCACCCGUUUGGAUCUGGCUCUCUCCCGGCUGCACGAUGACCAGCCUCACUAACCACCUAUCCAGCCCGCCAAGGAGCUGUGGGGAAUCUGUGUCCCUAGGAAGCAGGAGCGGUGGUCAGAGAGGUCCCGAGAUGGCCCCACUAGCCAGCCCUCCUAGCAUGGGAAUGGGUUCGCCCUUGAAAAGCUGGAUCUGCUCUACUGGAAUCCGGGAGAAACAGAAACUAGGCUCGGAAAACUCCCCUAAGCCAGAGAGAGAUCAAUCCCGUUCAUUCCUUUUUCCUUCCAGCUCUGACAAGGAUGGCCCACAGGCUCCCAAGCGUCACUGGGUCUGGAUCUCUUCUCUGGCUGCAGAUGACAAGGACCGUCAUGACGUCUGUUCCCAGGAAGAUUGGUUCCAUCUUGUCCAUCAGAAUCCCAGGGCCAUCCCAGGUUCUCCCGGGUACUCAACCAAUCACCGUGAAUGAGCUAGAGAUGACUUUCCAGAGAUUCUUUGUUUCUCAGCGGUCAGGCCUGGAGGUCCCCACACUGGGCUGGAUGGAUGUCUCCUCCCUGAAGUCGGACCAAGUGAUCGAUCCAUGUCUCCCCACCUUUGCAGCCCGGCCCAGCGCCAGAUCUGAGGACUUGGCUCUCAUCUCCAUGAUCUCCUCUUCCCCAGCUGUCUCCAUCCACAAGCUGCAGCGCCCUCGACUUCCCAGAAGAAGUUUGGCCCGACCCCUCCGGAGGGCUCGUCGACGCCUGUGCUGGGGUGGAUUGCUUGAUACUUGCUUAGUCCUUCUCACUCCUUAGUUCCAUGGUUUAUCUACUAAGCCACACUCCCCAAAAGUCAAGCAGGGACCUUCACUCCCUUGUAAAUGGGCCUUCUUGAAACUCCAAGUUCAUUCUCCAAAUCCUAGUACCUGGGAACCCUGCCCACAAUAUUUAGUUGAUCAGACCGUGGGACCGUGGCCUGGGAGUGAGAAGGCCCUGACUUACUGGAUUUAAAGAUGUACUUAAGGAUUUACAGACUUACUUUACCCUCCUCAUUUACUGUAUCAGACCAUGUCACGCUCUCUGUCCCUGCCCUUUUCUGCACAGCUCAUGAACUGAACUAAUUUGCAAAGAACUCUAGGGCCUGCAGGGUAGUCACUUCCUGCUCCGCUGUGAACUAACGGCAGAUUCCACGGUCCAAGGCUGAAGAGCCAGGACUCUUGAAAGUCUCUCCCUCCCCUGUACCUUCGCUUUUCUUAUACAAUUCCUGGGUAAUUUUGAUAUCUAUACAGAUCCAAUAGCUCACUGCAAGCCCCUUCUGUUCACCCCAAGAGCCCUGCGAAGCUUUCACACAAGCACACUCAGGAUAUGAUGAUAGAACAUUAUCUGCUCCUGGUGAAGAACUUAUCUGGAUCACAAAAUUGUGUGCUUGAAAAGCAGGGACCGUGUCUACUUACUCUAUUGUACUCCAAAGUACAUAAUAAAGAGCUCUCCACACAGUAAGCACUCAGUAAAUACCACUGGUUGAAUGAUUGGUCUCAAACCCUGGAGAUAAUCAGGGUUUCCUUAAUAAUGCUUAUAAUAAUAAUAAUCAUGAUAGUAUUUGUUAAGUGCUUACUACGUGCCAAGCACAGUUCUAAGCGCUGGGGGAGAUACAAGGUAAUCAGGUUGUCCUGUGUGGGGCUCACAGUCUUAAUCCCCAUUUUCUAGAUGAGGUCACUGAGGCACAGAGAAGUUAAGUGACUUACUCCAAGUCACACAACUGACAAGUGCUGGAGCCGGGAAUAGAACCCACAACCUCUGACUCCCAAGCCUGGGCUCUUGUAUUAAACCGCUGCUACAAACAUCCUUCCACGGGGAAGCUUUUGACACUGAGAUUCCAGGGUGCGAUUCUUGCC